UACGGAGGGUGCAAGCGUUAUCCGGAUUCACUGGGUUUAAAGGGUGCGUAGGUGGGUUGGUAAGUCAGUGGUGAAAUCUCCAAGCUUAACUUGGAAACUGCCGUUGAUACUAUCAAUCUUGAAUCUCGUGGAGGUAAGCGGAAUAUGUCAUGUAGCGGUGAAAUGCUUAGAUAUGACGUAGAACACCGAUAGCGAAGGCAGCUUGCUACACGAGUAUUGACACUGAGGCACGAAAGCGUGGGGAUCAAACAGG
This 253-nucleotide ribosomal RNA is filed under the name uncultured bacterium. Its description in RNAcentral is "partial 16S ribosomal RNA". It matches the Rfam family "Bacterial small subunit ribosomal RNA", at positions 524 to 776 of the family's 1533-position model. The record is from RNAcentral.